UUUUAUUUUUUACAAAUUGCAAUAUUUAUCUACAGCGCGCCUUUAGCGACACGUCAACAGAUCUUAAGCAAGGCGAUUGGAUGGUUUUUACUGCAAUGCAUCUUGGGAGUCGUAGUAAAUGUAUCUUUCAACUCACGGUCCUGCAGCGAAGUUUUCGACUGGACACGAGGCAGAUCCUAGCUAAAAAUGACAAAGCCAAAAACCAAACCAUGCCCUUCCUGUCAGGCCCCAAACACCUGCAACAGGAAGACAUGCAGUGGAUGCCUGGGCAGCCUGAACCUAAAGGAGGGAUUGAAAAAAAAACAAGAACAGUUUAAAAACAGUAACUGGGCUGCCUCUGUUAAAAAAAACAGAAAUGCGAGCAGGGUGGUUAAUUCAGCCCAGUUGUCAGUUUCAAAGCUACAUGCCCUGGGCUACCAACCAAUUCUGUUUCUUGGACAGUUUGACCGUAAGGGCCG
This is a non-coding RNA of Maylandia zebra (zebra mbuna), 458 nucleotides long. NCBI's taxonomy places the organism in Eukaryota, Metazoa, Chordata, Actinopteri, Cichliformes, Cichlidae. The record is from RefSeq and is a predicted model, not a curated record.